Molecule: transfer RNA, 77 nt
Filed under: Flavobacteriales bacterium
Lineage: Bacteria; Pseudomonadati; Bacteroidota; Flavobacteriia; Flavobacteriales
Description: tRNA-Arg
Rfam family: tRNA
About the family: Transfer RNA (tRNA) molecules are approximately 80 nucleotides in length. Their secondary structure includes four short double-helical elements and three loops (D, anti-codon, and T loops). Further hydrogen bonds mediate the characteristic L-shaped molecular structure. tRNAs have two regions of fundamental functional importance: the anti-codon, which is responsible for specific mRNA codon recognition, and the 3' end, to which the tRNAs corresponding amino acid is attached (by aminoacyl-tRNA synthetases). tRNAs cope with the degeneracy of the genetic code in two manners: having more than one tRNA (with a specific anti-codon) for a particular amino acid; and 'wobble' base-pairing, i.e. permitting non-standard base-pairing at the 3rd anti-codon position.
Source: RNAcentral
GGCUCCGUAGUUCAACUGGAUAGAAUAGCAGAUUUCGGCUCUGCUGGUUGGGGGUUCGAAUCCCUCCGGAGUCACAA